This 276-nucleotide unclassified non-coding RNA is filed under the name uncultured fungus. RNAcentral's name for it is "partial contains internal transcribed spacer 2 and large subunit ribosomal RNA". The record is from RNAcentral. Lineage: Eukaryota; Fungi.
AACGCAGCUUGCACUCUAGGUUCUCCUAGAGUAUGCCUAUUUGAGUAUCGUACACCCCCACUCGAGCCGCAAGGCUUGGAUCUGAUGAGUCGUGUGCCACUCUGGCACUGACUUGAAUUGGAGUGAAUCGGGUCUAUGCGCUGCCGCUGCUGCCCUGGUUCUGACGUGAUAACACAUCUCGUCAGCUUGUGCACAACGCCAGUCUUACACCUCUCACCAACACACCCCAUCUCUGAUAUCGAUCUCAAAUUAGGUAGGACUACCCGCUGAACUUAA